CGUAGGUGGCAAGCGUUGUCCGGAUUUAUUGGGUUUAAAGGGUGCGUAGGCGGCCCCGUAAGUCAGUGGUGAAAUAUCUCAGCUUAACUGAGAGGGUGCCAUUGAUACUGCGGGGCUUGAGUACAGAUGAGGUAGGCGGAAUUGACGGUGUAGCGGUGAAAUGCAUAGAUAUCGUCAAGAACUCCGAUAGCGAAGGCAGCUUACUAAGCUGUAACUGACGCUGAGGCACGAAAGUGUGGGGAUCAAACAGGAUUGGAUACCCUGGUAGUCCACACUGUAAACGUUGAUGACUCGAUGUUGGCGAUACACAGCCAGCGUCCAAGAGCAAUCGUUAAGUCAUCCACCUGGGGAGUACGCCGGCAACGGUG
RNAcentral lists this ribosomal RNA (368 nucleotides) under uncultured organism. Its description in RNAcentral is "bacterial SSU rRNA". It matches the Rfam family "Bacterial small subunit ribosomal RNA", at positions 526 to 896 of the family's 1533-position model. The record is from RNAcentral.